Molecule: transfer RNA, 76 nt
Filed under: Actinomycetes bacterium
Lineage: Bacteria; Bacillati; Actinomycetota; Actinomycetes
Description: Actinobacteria bacterium tRNA-Gly
Rfam family: tRNA
About the family: Transfer RNA (tRNA) molecules are approximately 80 nucleotides in length. Their secondary structure includes four short double-helical elements and three loops (D, anti-codon, and T loops).
Source: RNAcentral
GCGGACGUAGCUCAGUUGGUAGAGCAUCAGCUUCCCAAGCUGAGGGUCGCGGGUUCGAUCCCCGUCGUCCGCUCUA